AACUUCAAAUAACGUCCCACUUUUAGUACCAUGUGAUUUAAAGUGUAUCAAUUUGAUAUUUUAUAAUUUUAUUUUUCUUCUUUCGUUAGCUCCUUCAUUAAUAUUUCGCUAAAUUAUUAUAUCCAAAAAUCUUCAGAUUCCCCACUUAGAUGUAUCGAAUAUUCACUUUUGUAUCUGAAAUAACGAAAAGAAUUAGCGUAGUAAAUAAUAAAAAAAAAAAAAGAAAUCACAAGGUACUAAAUCGAUACAUUUUAAACUAUAUGGCACUAAAAUAAAAAAAAAAAAGUAAAUUAU
This 294-nucleotide long non-coding RNA is filed under the name Ananas comosus (pineapple). RNAcentral's name for it is "long non-coding RNA (ACOM_LNC015346)". The record is from RNAcentral. Lineage: Eukaryota; Viridiplantae; Streptophyta; Magnoliopsida; Poales; Bromeliaceae.